GAUGAAGAACGCAGCGAAAUGCGAUAAGUAAUGUGAAUUGCAGAAUUCAGUGAAUCAUCGAAUCUUUAAACGCACCUUGCGCCCUUUGGCCAUUCCGAAGGGCAUGCCUGUUUGAGUAUCAUGAACACCUCAACUCUUCAUGGUUUUCCGUGAUGAGCUUGGACUUUGGGGGUCUUGCUGGCCUAUGGUCAGCUCCUCUAAAAUAAAUCAGCUUGCCAGUGUUUGGUGGGUAUCACAGGUGUGAUAACUAUCUACGCUUGUGGUUUUCCACCAGGUAACCUUCAGCAGUGGAGGUUCGCUGGAGCUCACAGAUGUGUCUCUCCUCAGUGAGGACAGCUCUUUGAAUGUUUGAUCUCAAAUCAGGUAGGACUACCCGCUGAACUUAAGCAUAUCAAUAAGCGGAGGA
RNAcentral lists this unclassified non-coding RNA (406 nucleotides) under soil metagenome. RNAcentral describes it as "partial contains 5.8S ribosomal RNA, internal transcribed spacer 2, and large subunit ribosomal RNA". The stretch from base 1 to 121 matches the Rfam family "5.8S ribosomal RNA", at positions 35 to 154 of the family's 154-position model. The record is from RNAcentral.